AGUCGCGAACGGGUGAGUAACGCGUAGGUAACCUGCCUGAUAGCGGGGGAUAACUAUUGGAAACGAUAGCUAAUACCGCAUAAGAGUCGUUAACACAUGUUAAUGAUUUAAAAGGAGCAAUUGCUUCACUAUCAGAUGGACCUGCGUUGUAUUAGCUAGUUGGUGAGGUAACGGCUCACCAAGGCUUCGAUACAUAGCCGACCUGAGAGGGUGAUCGGCCACACUGGGACUGAGACACGGCCCAGACUCCUACGGGAGGCAGCAGUAGGGAAUCUUCGGCAAUGGACGAAAGUCUGACCGAGCAACGCCGCGUGAGUGAAGAAGGUUUUCGGAUCGUAAAGCUCUGUUAUAAGCGAAGAACGGGAGUAAGAGUGGAAAGUUUACUCUGUGACGGUAGCUUAUCAGAAAGGGACGGCUAACUACGUGCCAGCAGCCGCGGUAAUACGUAGGUCCCGAGCGUUGUCCGGAUUUAUUGGGCGUAAAGCGAGCGCA
This 492-nucleotide ribosomal RNA is filed under the name Streptococcus hyovaginalis. Its description in RNAcentral is "bacterial SSU rRNA". It matches the Rfam family "Bacterial small subunit ribosomal RNA", at positions 94 to 573 of the family's 1533-position model. Lineage: Bacteria; Bacillati; Bacillota; Bacilli; Lactobacillales; Streptococcaceae. The record is from RNAcentral.